This 1516-nucleotide long non-coding RNA is filed under the name Anas platyrhynchos (mallard). Its description in RNAcentral is "lncRNA (ENSAPLG00020006917.1)". The record is from RNAcentral. Lineage: Eukaryota; Metazoa; Chordata; Aves; Anseriformes; Anatidae.
GCUGUUUUUCUGGCAAGGGCUCUCUCUUCAGACUGCUUUUGGGGUAGCAGCAGCUAUGUUGUUGUGUGACUGUACGAUGUUACCAUGGUGGGACCGAAUGCGGUCAUCCCUGAGCAGUUGUGGUGUUGGCUAGUAGUUAGAAGGACAGCAAUGCUCAUAAUUGCUCAGGUGGAACCAGAGUCUUCUAUUGCAGAAGUCUUUUCACUAAAUGUUCCAGUGACACAGGGAGAAAAAUAUGUUGAUGCCUACUUUGACCUUCCUACUUGUUUGGGAAAAAGAGGCACCAUUAACCUUCAUCUUCACCAUAGUUUUCUGCUUUCUAGAUAAUUUACUUUAGCUUCACUAAGGUGUUUCCUUUGCUUUUUCUUCUUCUUACGUUCUUGCCAUCGCCACCCUGGCUCCCAGGAUGCCUCUGUUCUCAAAACGAUUAAACCAACUCUCAGUUAAUUUUGUUAUUCAGGUACUGUCUUUUUCUGCAGAUUCCUCCACAAGACAGAUUUCUUCCUGCAAGUCCUUUCAGAGGCGCUCUACCAGAGAAAUGUCAAUGAUAACAAGUUAAAAAGGAUGAUGAAAUAAAAUGACAAGGAGUAUGUGGAACCAAACAGCAACCGCUGUCUUCCACAGCAAACCCUUGCACUGCCCAAGCAUCCCCACUCUAUUUCUCGCUUUUCCUCAUUUCCCCUAAGGGAAUGUGGCACAGCCCCUGCUUCGGACAGAAAGACAGCCGUCCAAAGGAAAUGAGCAUCAAUUCUCAGAGCUUGGCCACCGUCCGUGCGAUGGAGCAAUGUAGCUAGGGCUGUGGGUUGACUUGCGCUUGCAUCACUGCAACCCCGAACCAGAUUGCAUCUGCAGUCAUCUGACUUCAUGCCCGAACUGAUAAAUGGUGCUGUGGAAGCGUGGAUCUCGAGGGCCUUGGCAAGAUGCUUUUGCAGUAUCCUGUCCCCUCGUUGUGUCAUCCUCUGGAAGACAGGAGAAUGAGAAUCAGCGGCGUGCCAGUAACCUGCAAGCAGUUGGAGAACUCCUGUGUGAAAAAGAGCAACCAUGCAGCGUGAGCGCAGCGAACUCGUGCCUCCCAACAACCUGCAGUUGCGACUGUGUUCCCCCCACGGGAACUGAUGCCAGAUUCUCCCUCUGGUUAUCUGUGUUCUUCUCUCUUACUGUAACAAAUUUGUUGCUCUCCAGCUCCCACAUGUUAACGGAAAAAUGCAGAUAUUCCCCGUGCAGAUUAAGCGAGGUUAACAAAUUGGCACUUGUAAUCGAGUCCUGUCCCUGGCUGCUGCCACAUGGGGCAUGCACUUGGUGAGGCCUCUGGGAAUUUUCCGUGUGUAGGGCGCAGGAUUUCGCCCUGGCAAAGGGCGCUGGCCUAAAAGGGGUAGCAAGAGGUGAGCUUUUUGGGGAAAAAUGUGUAAUUAUUUUGUAUAGGUAUUUUUGGGGUGAAAACCCACCGUGUGCGCAUGUUUAUGUAACAGAUGUAAAAAGCAUUUUUUUUUCAUUAAACCACCAAAAGCGGUAAGCC